RNAcentral lists this ribosomal RNA (664 nucleotides) under alpha proteobacterium IMCC14621. Its description in RNAcentral is "bacterial SSU rRNA". It matches the Rfam family "Bacterial small subunit ribosomal RNA", at positions 38 to 749 of the family's 1533-position model. Lineage: Bacteria; Pseudomonadati; Pseudomonadota; Alphaproteobacteria. The record is from RNAcentral.
GGCGGCAGGCCUAACACAUGCAAGUCGAGCGCACCUUCGGGUGAGCGGCGGACGGGUUAGUAACGCGUGGGAACGUACCCUUUUCUACGGAAUAGCCUUUGGAAACGAAGAGUAAUACCGUAUACGCCCUUUGGGGGAAAGAUUUAUCGGAGAAGGAUCGGCCCGCGUUAGAUUAGAUAGUUGGUGGGGUAACGGCCUACCAAGUCUACGAUCUAUAGCUGGUUUUAGAGGAUGAUCAGCAACACUGGGACUGAGACACGGCCCAGACUCCUACGGGAGGCAGCAGUGGGGAAUCUUAGACAAUGGGCGCAAGCCUGAUCUAGCCAUGCCGCGUGAGUGAUGAAGGCCUUAGGGUCGUAAAGCUCUUUCGCCUGUGAUGAUAAUGACAGUAGCAGGUAAAGAAACCCCGGCUAACUCCGUGCCAGCAGCCGCGGUAAUACGGAGGGGGUUAGCGUUGUUCGGAAUUACUGGGCGUAAAGCGCACGUAGGCGGAUUGGAAAGUUGGGGGUGAAAUCCCGGGGCUCAACCCCGGAACUGCCUCCAAAACUAUCAGUCUAGAGUUCGAGAGAGGUGAGUGGAAUUCCAAGUGUAGAGGUGAAAUUCGUAGAUAUUUGGAGGAACACCCAGUGGCGAAGGCGGCUCACUGGCUCGAUACUGACGCUGA